This 973-nucleotide ribosomal RNA is filed under the name uncultured Glomus. RNAcentral's name for it is "bacterial SSU rRNA". The stretch from base 1 to 456 matches the Rfam family "Eukaryotic small subunit ribosomal RNA", at positions 1357 to 1831 of the family's 1831-position model. Lineage: Eukaryota; Fungi; Glomeromycota; Glomeromycetes; Glomerales; Glomeraceae. The record is from RNAcentral.
AGCUAGGUCUAACAUUGUUAGGUCGUCAGCUUCUUAGAGGGACUAUCGGUGUUUAACCGAUGGAAGUUUGAGGCAAUAACAGGUCUGUGAUGCCCUUAGAUGUUCUGGGCCGCACGCGCGCUACACUGAUGAAGUCAACGAGUUCAUUUCCUUCAUCGGAAGAUAUGGGUAAUCUUUUGAAACUUCAUCGUGAUGGGGAUAGAGCAUUGCAAUUAUUGCUCUUGAAUGAGGAAUCCCUAGUAAGCACAAGUCACUAGCUUGUGCUGAUUACGUCCCUGCCCUUUGUACACACCGCCCGUCGCUACUACCGAUUGAAUGGCUUAGUGAGGCCUUCGGAUUGAAUUUUGGGAACUGGCAACAGAUCUCGAUUUUUAAGAAGUUGGUCAAACUUGGUCAUUUAGAGGAAGUAAAAGUCGUAACAAGGUUUCCAUAGGUGAACCUGCGGAAGGAUCAUUAUCAAUAUUAGCGAACCUGGUCGUUUUUGACCAAGGUUUCGUGAACUUUGUAUUUAAAACCCACGCUUUUUUUAAAUAAUAAUUUAUUGUAUCAAUUAUGAUAAAAAAGAUCACUUUCAACAACGGAUCUCUUGGCUCUCGCAUCGAUGAAGAACGUAGCGAAGUGCGAUAAGUAAUGUGAAUUGCAGAAUUCCGUGAGUCAUCGAAUCUUUGAACGCAAAUUGCACUUCCUGGCAUUCCGAGGAGUAUGCCUGUUUGAGGGUCAGUUUAAGUAAAUAUCGUAGUGUUGCUUUUUGUGACGCUUCGGAAUUGGGUCAUCUUGAUCCUUUGGGUUAAGAGACUUAAAAUUGAUGUAUAUCUGUGCAUCUCGGACGUACAUAAGAUUUUUUUUUUAUCCGUCAGGGUUGCCAGGUCCUUAUUAGGUAUGAUCAUGUUGCUUGUGAAAUCCGUACCUAUAACAUAACUCAUAUUUUGACCUCAAAUCAGGUAGGAAUACCCGCUGAACUUAAGCAUAUCAA